CAAUAGCGUAUAUUUAAGUUGUUGCAGUUAAAAAGCUCGUAGUUGGAUUUCGGGUAGGAUUUGCCGGUCCGUCUUUGAGAUGUGUACUGGUAAGUCCUAUCUUCUUGUCGGGGACCAGCUCCUGGGCUUCACUGUCCGGGACUGGGAGCCGACGAAGUUACUUUGAGUAAAUUAGAGUGUUCAAAGCAAGCCUACGCUCUGAAUAUAUUAGCAUGGAAUAACACGAUAGGACUCUGGCUUAUCUUGUUGGUCUGUGAGACCAGAGUAAUGAUUAAGAGGGACAGUCGGGGACAUUCGUAUUUCAUUGUCAGAGGUGAGAUUCUUGGAUUUAUGAAAGACGAACUUCUGCGAAGGCAUUUGUCAAGGAUGUUUUCAUUAA
This 379-nucleotide ribosomal RNA is filed under the name uncultured eukaryote. RNAcentral describes it as "partial 18S ribosomal RNA". It matches the Rfam family "Eukaryotic small subunit ribosomal RNA", at positions 592 to 976 of the family's 1831-position model. The record is from RNAcentral.